AACAUCGCGCACCUGCGGGAACCUGCGGAAGGAUCAUUACCGAGUGCGGGUCCGCGUGGCCCAACCUCCCACCCGUGCCUAUUGUACCCUGUUGCUUCGGCGGGCCCGCCAGCCUUCGGGCUGGCCGCCGGGGGGCGUCUCGCCCCCGGGCCCGUGCCCGCCGGAGACCCCAACAUGAACCCUGUUCUGAAAGCUUGGUGUCUGAGUGUGAUUGUUUGCAAUCAGUUAAAACUUUCAGCA
This 240-nucleotide unclassified non-coding RNA is filed under the name soil metagenome. RNAcentral's name for it is "partial contains 5.8S ribosomal RNA, internal transcribed spacer 2, and large subunit ribosomal RNA". The record is from RNAcentral.